AUCCGGAUCCCGUCGCACAGUCGCACAGUCACGAGCAGGCUUUGUGCGAACUAGGGCGCGAGCCCUCCAGAGAGCCGCGGCCCGGGAGGCCACAGUCAGCUUCCUCCGCCUCCGGCGCUUUCCAGCUAGGGUCUGGGUCGGGUGGAGCCGCGGGAGCGGCGCUGUUGGGCGCACAGACCUCCGGAAAGCCCAACACACGGACAACGAAAUUGGCCCGCGACCAAGUCCACAGGCUCAGCCGCCAAGGGGCGCGCGGUCCUGCGGCGCUUUAAGUUAGGAGAGAGACGACAGAAAACGCAUUCCCUCCCUACCCCCCGACACACACACUCGAUUUUCCCAGAGGCUGGGAAGGGGGUGUUAGCACCAGACCCGAAAUGUCGCUGUCUUUGAAAACAACGAAAACAGGAAAAUCUGAGCGCGGAGCUGAAAGGCGCCCCAGGCACCGGGCUGGACUCCAACUGGCCAGAAGUGGGGUGGGGGUGGGAGGACAGAAGGAUUUGGUUCCCUGCCGGCAGGAGGCUUUGGAACUAAAAACUAGGGGUUGCCACGAAUCCCGGCUUCUGGGAGUAGGGAUUGAAAGGGAGGAGGGGCCGGGCGCGGUGCCUCACGCCUGUAAUCCCAGCACUUUGAGAGGCCGAGGCAGAUGGAUCACCUGAGGUCAAGAGAUCCAGACCAUCCUGGCCAACAUGGUGAAACCCCGUCUCUACUAAAAAUAGAAGAAAUUAGCUGGUCGUGGUGGCGCGCGCCUGUAGUCCCAGCUACUAGGCAGGCUGAGGCAGGAGAAUCGCUUGAACCCGGG
Molecule: long non-coding RNA, 799 nt
Filed under: Homo sapiens (human)
Lineage: Eukaryota; Metazoa; Chordata; Mammalia; Primates; Hominidae
Description: HSALNT0382257
Source: RNAcentral